UUGAAAUACCACCCUUUAAUGUUUGAUGUUCUAACGUGGACCCGUGAUCCGGGUUGCGGACAGUGUCUGGUGGGUAGUUUGACUGGGGCGGUCUCCUCCUAAAGAGUAACGGAGGAGCACGAAGGUUGGCUAAUCCUGGUCGGACAUCAGGAGGUUAGUGCAAUGGCAUAAGCCAGCUUGACUGCGAGCGUGACGGCGCGAGCAGGUGCGAAAGCAGGUCAUAGUGAUCCGGUGGUUCUGAAUGGAAGGGCCAUCGCUCAACGGAUAAAAGGUACUCCGGGGAUAACAGGCUGAUACCGCCCAAGAGUUCAUAUCGACGGCGGUGUUUGGCACCUCGAUGUCGGCUCAUCACAUCCUGGGGCUGAAGUAGGUCCCAAGGGUAUGGCUGUUCGCCAUUUAAAGUGGUACGCGAGCUGGGUUUAGAACGUCGUGAGACAGUUCGGUCCCUAUCUGCCGUGGGCGCUGGAGAACUGAGGGGGGCUGCUCCUAGUACGAGAGGACCGGAGUGGACGCAUCACUGGUGUUCGGG
This 529-nucleotide ribosomal RNA is filed under the name Salmonella enterica. RNAcentral's name for it is "bacterial LSU rRNA". It matches the Rfam family "Bacterial large subunit ribosomal RNA", at positions 2192 to 2720 of the family's 2925-position model. Lineage: Bacteria; Pseudomonadati; Pseudomonadota; Gammaproteobacteria; Enterobacterales; Enterobacteriaceae. The record is from RNAcentral.